Molecule: ribosomal RNA, 579 nt
Filed under: Barathronus diaphanus
Lineage: Eukaryota; Metazoa; Chordata; Actinopteri; Ophidiiformes; Aphyonidae
Description: partial 16S ribosomal RNA
Rfam family: Bacterial large subunit ribosomal RNA
Source: RNAcentral
CAAAAACAUCGCCUCYUGAAAAACCAAAAGAUAAGAGGUCCCGCCUGCCCUGUGACAGUAUGUUUAACGGCCGCGGUAUUUUGACCGUGCGAAGGUAGCGCAAUCACUUGUCUCUUAAAUGGAGACCUGUAUGAACGGCACGACGAGGGCUUAACUGUCUCCUUUUCCCAGUCAAUGAAAUUGAUCUCCCCGUGCAGAAGCGGGGAUUAGAACAUAAGACGAGAAGACCCUAUGGAGCUUUAGAUAUGGGACAGAUCAUGUUAAGCCCCCUACAAAGGAAGGAAACUAAAUGGCGCCUGUCCUAAUGUCUUUGGUUGGGGCGACCGCGGGGCAACACAAAACCCCCAUGUGGACAGGGGGCACCUCCCCCCAAAACCAAGAGCCACAGCUCUAAGCAGCAGAACAUCUGACCAUCAAGAUCCGGCAAAGCCGAUCAACGGACCGAGUUACCCUAGGGAUAACAGCGCAAUCCCCUUCUAGAGCCCAUAUCGACAAGGGGGUUUACGACCUCGAUGUUGGAUCAGGACAUCCUAACGGUGCAACCGCUAUUAAGGGUUCGUUUGUUCAACGAUUAAAGUC